Molecule: ribosomal RNA, 253 nt
Filed under: uncultured bacterium
Lineage: Bacteria
Description: partial 16S ribosomal RNA
Rfam family: Bacterial small subunit ribosomal RNA
Source: RNAcentral
UACAGAGGGUGCGAGCGUUGUCCGGAAUCACUGGGCGUAAAGGGCGCGUAGGCGGCAUGUUAGGUGAGGUGUGAAAUCCCCCGGCUCAACCGAGGAAUUGCGCUUCAAACCGGCGUGCUUGAGGAAGAUAGAGGUGGGCGGAACUGAUGGUGGAGCGGUGAAAUGCGUUGAUAUCAGGAGGAACACCAAUUGCGAAGGCAGCUCGCUGGGACGUUACUGACGCUGAGACGCGAAAGCGUGGGGAGCAAACAGG